Non-coding RNA from Acanthosepion pharaonis, 106 nucleotides. The record is from the annotation of a GenBank genome assembly. Lineage: Eukaryota; Metazoa; Mollusca; Cephalopoda; Sepiida; Sepiidae.
CCAUAUCAGAUUGAAACACCAUUUCUCAUCCGAUCAUCGAAGUUAAGCAACAUUGAACCUGGUCAGUAUCUAGAAAGGUGACCACUUGGGAAUACCAGGUUCUGUA